Molecule: long non-coding RNA, 5721 nt
Organism: Cavia porcellus (domestic guinea pig)
Lineage: Eukaryota; Metazoa; Chordata; Mammalia; Rodentia; Caviidae
Exons: 2
Source: RefSeq, a predicted model, not a curated record
UCUGCCUCAGUCUCCCAGAAGGAGCUAUUACAGGCAUGUGUUCCUCUUCCUGGGAAGAAUCCCUGGUUUACACACCCCUGCUGGAUCAGUGGGCUGGGGAUGAACACCUGCUCCAAUUCCCUAGAGAAAUGCAGCCAUUGCCGGCUUCUUCACCUGUUCUAAAUGGAGGAACACAGUCUUAUACUUUUCUUUCCCUCUCAGCCCCUUCCACCACCUCCCUUACCAACAUGAACGUAAAAACCAAGAAAAAAAAAGCAAACAGAACUGAAAGUACAACAAACAAAAGAACAAAGAGAGCAAGGUCAGAGAAAGCACAGCGGAAGGAAGAGGAAGCAGCAGGCUGGCUACGGGUGCACACAGAACAGCUGGAGUCCUGGUCCACUCUUCCCAGGGACUCCAACAAACUACCUUCUGCACCUCCCAGUCCCCCCGCAGACCUGAAGACAGAUGGAGAAGCACAAUCUCAUAAGCUGCAGCAGCUGUGGCCCAUACCUCAGCAACCCGCCAGCUUCCUUCUCCAGAAGGCAGCAGCAGCAGGAAGGGGAAAAGAAAAGGAAAGGAUACAAUAAUAACCCCAAACCUUUUCAUCUCAGCUUAAAUUUAUCAUUUGCUUCAUUCUCAGCAUCUCUUCCUCCCUCCCUGACUCAUAAGCAAAUGAUCAAACAGGGCUUUGCCAAGAGGAAGCAUGGAGCCACUGAGGCGGCAUCUUCUCUCAGACUGAAAGGGGGCAUCGAAUUACACGCAGAAAGGAUGCACCUGCUUCCAGAGGCAGCAUGGGGGGAAAAGCGCUCAUAAAGAGCCCCAGAUUACUGCAAGCAAGAUAAUAAUGUGAUGGGGUUGAAAUUAAAUGCUAAAUUAAGAUUGCUUAUGGAAUUUAAAGGGGAUGGGAAGAAAUGGGGUGGAGAGACCAGAAAUGGGAGUGGGGGUGGGGAGAAAAGAACAAGAAAAAUAGACACAGUACAGUAGACAAAGGGGAAGAUGCAUUAAAAAAAAAAUACAGCAGCACAAAUAAAGACAGAAACAGAAAGGAGGAAGCCAGCACCUGGAAAGCAGUUACAGCUGCAGAGGGGGUGCAAAAAGGAGAGCACAGGGAGCGGGAGGAAGGUCAGGAGCCAGAGCAGAAAGCGCACUUCCUUCAUCUAUUUCAGUUUGCCCAUGACUAGGUAAGGUUUGCUCAUGCUCCACUGUCCACCCGCCCUCCAGCUCUGCCUGAAGAGCCCCAGGGUCUGUGUGGCACACCCCACACAUCAGCUGACCCCCACAUCCACCUGUCUCUCCCUCUCCAAAACAGACAGGAAGGCCAUUCUCACGGUGUGGGUAACUCUGGGCAUCCUUAUGGGCUGUAGCACCCGUAAUCAUUUUGCAGCAGCCCAGAAUAAUGGGGCUCUUAGGCCCAGCUCACGCUUCCUUCCAAAGGGCAGAGGCUGCCUGGGGGCUGCUGACUCUUGAUAGAGCGAUUUAGAACUGUGUGCUCAGCAAUUCAACAAAGCACAGACCCCCACACGGUGAUUCUCCAUUUUCCCCAGGCUGCCCGCACUGCAUUGAUUUCACUAGCUCUGCAGCCAUUUAGUGAAGACAAAAAGAGGUAAAAUUGCCAGGUUCUGGACUUCUCCAGCAGACUGAGAGGAAAGAAUCCUGGAGGAAGAGUGACCAUGAGCUCAUUUGAAUGAGUGAUAGGCAGACAUACUCCCUUGAGCGAGGGAGACCACACCAAGACACAAUUGUUAGGGGUGGGAGUUCGGGUGUCAGAACCUCGAGCUGUGCUUUCCAAUGGGCCUGAAGCCGAGACAAACUGGCACGACAGUGAAGGAAGUAGGAAGAGAUGGAAAGGGAAGGGGCAAGCAGUCCCAGGCUGCAGAGGUAGGAAAUAAAUAAUGUCCAGAAGAGUCUGGCUCUGAAGUAGACCAAAUGGCUCUCCUGUCCCAUGUUUAUGGGGUCAUGGGCCAUUAAGCCAGCCAACCUACAGAUGUCUUCAUAAGACUUUACGAGAUUAGACUAGGAAGACCCCAUCACUCAGCAGCAAGAAUAGAAAACAAGAGGGGAGAAUUGCAGAUAAGAGCUGGUACAAACAAGGACUCUGCUUUGACAGUCCCAUUUCUGUGGGAAGAUGUCCGGGUCCUGGCAUUUCCCCCCUUUCUCACUUCUCACUCUUCUGGAGACUUUCUGCCAAUCUCCACUAGCCUCGGGGCUGCAUUAAAUUUUGUGUUCUGGAUUAUUCUACCUUCCCCUCCUAAUAUGCCUUGCAGUUGGCUCUCACCACUUUUCCAGCCCCAGUAUCCAGGCCUCAGAGUUUCUUCAGCCUUUGAUAAACAAAGCAGAAAGAUGAAAGAUUUACAUUUACAAAUGCACAUGACUCAGAUUUUUAAAUCUAAAGACUGCUUGAUGUGGUUUCUUACAUUCCAGUGACUUCGAGGUUUUUUCCCCCCCACAGCACUGGCAAAUGAGCCCAAGGCUUUCACACUGAGCUGCAUCACCACCCCUUUUAAAUUUUCAGACAGGACAUUGCCAAGUCACUAAAUUGCCUGAGAUGGGCUUGAACUUCUGAUUCUCCGGUGCUGAAUGGGACGCCACCUGUGUACUGAUGUGCACUGUAAGCACAUGAAUUCCUGAAACCUCUCUCUUAUUCUGUGAACUGUCCAGAGCAACAGCAUGAGAAUCAGGAAAGUACACAAACCCAGUUUAGGGAAUAGGGCAGAAAAAAAGCCAAGUUCCCUUAUGUACCCCUGGCUAGCACCACCCGGUGGCUAUCUGAAAAAUCUGAGACAGGGUGUCCAAAAAACAACAUAACCUCUGAGGCCAAUGACCUCCAGAAAAAGCUUCUGUUCUCCAAGUCUUGUGGCUCUUUCAGCAACAAGGACAAGGCAUGACUAAUGAUAACAGUCUAGAACCCAAAUUGAAAAGGAAUGUUAAGACCCAGCUUUUCAAACCACCACUCAAGGUCCAUAUUUGAAAAGCAACCAUUUAUUAGAACCAAUACAAGAGUAUGAAAAGGGGGAAAAGAGAAGGGUGGAAGAGGGGGAGAGAAUGAGGUCUGAAUCAGAUGUCAGUUAUGGAAACACAUAAAUGCCUACUUUUAAACGUUUACAGUUAAAAGGUGAACAUAUAUAUAAUCACUUAUCCUUUAAAAAAAUCAAAAGCAGACAUGUUUGGCUGAAAUAAAACCAAGAAAAGUAACUCCCCCACAAACCAGAAACUCCAUAGAGAAUUCAAUGUCUCAUUUCCAUUCAGAAAUCUGGCUAUAAAGUGUGACUUGUUUUGCUUCUCAGGAUGGUGCAGUGCUGGAAAAGCCCAGCCUCUUGAGUCUCUCAGAUCCCAUCCGGUGGGAAGUGGUGACGAGGCCAGCAGGCCACAGCGAGGCAACCCUGGCUACGUGGCAGGAUGUGACUGUGCUCUCCAUCCUCCAGGGCUCCACAGAACCAUCCGGUGCCAAGUGAACAGUGGGAGCAGAGUCCACAAAACAGAACUGGAAUGUGACCGCAAGGAGCCAGAACCUUGUGCUUUUUUAUGGGUUACAAAUCUAGUGCCAAGGAGGGGAAAGAAGAGCCCUAUUGGGAAGAGGAGCUGACUGAGUCUCUAAGCUGAGAUGGAAAUAAGGCUUUGAGCCCACACUUGGGCAACAAAACGUGUUCAAAGUUUUCUCAAACCAGAGGGGAAAAAAGGGUCAAGGACAGGUCUACACUGUGGACACUGAGAAAAGAGAUGCAGAUACUAAAUAUAAUGACUCUACUAUAAAGCCAUAAGGACCAAUGCCUGAUUCUGAGUGCUACAGUAUUUUGAGGGGAAAAAUUCUAAUGCACCUCUUUUGGUUGGGAAUAAAAAGGCGGUUACGUUUACUGAACCACCUAGUUUCUAUGAGAGCUUAAAAGCAUAAAGGGGCACAGUGACCCAGCUGCCCCGGGAUCAGUUUGUGUAAUGGAAAGCAACAACAUAAAUCUAAGCUAGAGGUUGCUUUGCUCCUGAGACAGUCCAAGUUGGCUCCAAAUGCAUGGGGAAUGGGAUCUUAGUUCCCAAACUGCAGAGGACAAGUGCUAGCAUCCCUGCCUCAGGAUUCCCUAGUCCAAUGCUCUUGAGCUUGAAAUAGCCUCUUGUGAAUGUAAGACAGAAAGUACUAGUGCCUUCCCCCAUGACAUCCUAAGUUAAAUCUGCACUCUUUUCUAAGAUUCCAACAUUCACAAAAACACUGUCAUCUGAACUAGCAGCACUGAUGAGGGGUGGGAGCAGAGAAUUUGCUGAAGUCACUAAGCAGUUCCAAACCUGGUGACAACUCAGUGAGGAUUAAAACCUCUGCCAGGCUUAAAUUUUGGCUCAAGGCAUCCUCCAGAGGACCCUAAAGUAUUCUUCAACUUUGAUUUACAAUGCCUCACAACACCCCAUGAGGUAGGUCAUUAUUAUUACCCCCAUUUAAUAGAUGGGAGAACUGAGGCAUUGAAUGACUUGCCCAAGGUCAGGCAUUAUGAAUCAGUUGAGGUUGGCACACAUAGUACACAUUCACUCGAUUCUUCUGCUGCUUCCUAGAGCAUUUUUCUUUUCCGAGUAUACUUCAGAGCAACAGAAGUGGGCAGGUACACUGUACUUCGCAAACCAGAUGAACUCAAUCAACCUGCACGGAUUAACCUAUCACUUAUCUAGCCUAAGGUGAGGAACACAGGAGAAACCAUCAGCUUUGAAAAUCACAGUAGUGAAUAUUUUGAAAAUAAAAUUACAAUUUAUACACUAAACACAUGGAUUCUUUCAAAAAAAGUUUUUCACUUUAGAGAUGAAGGAUUAAGUCACACCGGUCUCUCAAAGUUUUGUACUAAGUAACCUAAAUUCCUAAAAUGAAGCAAGACCCUUCUUACACAGGAACAGUAAGAACUGCUGCCCAGUGGAGGGCCCGGCAGCGCUUUUAUGGGCCUGCAAAGAGCAGAGUACACAGGGCAGGAAGCCAAGCACCCCACGAGCUCUCCUGCUGUGUGGCAUUUCUCCUCAUCAUCUUGCUCAACCCCAAGACCUGUGACUUCUCCAUAAACAGCACGCGAUUAAGGACAUAAAUGGUGACCUCCAUAACUAGUCAUAGAAGCUCUUACAAUACUCUUUUCUCCUGCCAGAGCAUGGGGAACGAGAUGACAAAACCACACCAAAACACCUCCACCCACUUGGGUUUGACUUUGGAUUCUGGUAGAAAUUAUGUCCCUUAUCCCAAAACUAUGGAGACGAGGAGGGCUCCAAAGCCAAAGCUAGCCCUGGGUUAGAAUGAAAUUCUAAAGUUACUGGAUCUGGAAAACACAGCUUUGAGCCUCAAGAACACUGAGACACAAGCACUCUGUUUCUUCAGCUGUGCACAAAGAAUUUCCAGGUAAAACAUCCCUCCCUCCUUCUAGGCCCCUCACAGCAGCCAGGUAUCAAGACUCUAUGAGCAACAGAAACUCAAAGAACUAACUUUUCAACACACAGCACAGGCUCACAAAGAGUAUCUUAUUCCAGAACUCACUCCACAAUCUAAAAGCUUUUUCUUUUUCACUGAUGGGGGGUCACACUGUACAGAAUCCAGGUUCAAGAAAGUUCAAGAUUGAUUUUUUUGGCAAUGACAUUUCAGGUUCUGCCUGUAUUUGGACUUCCGCCCCUCCAAAAUAAAAGCUCCUUAAAAAUGGCCACUUCAGCUUGGAUCAAUUGUUUAGGGUUACAACCUGUCAAUGCUAGGGGACAUCACCAAAAAAAAAAAAAAAAAAAAAAAAAAGACAA